AGUGAACGCUGGCGGCGUGCUUAACACAUGCAAGUCGAACGGAUGAAAUAAGCUUGCUUAUUUCGUUAGUGGCGCACGGGUGAGUAAUGUAUAGCUAACCUGCCCUUUAGUGGGGGACAACAGUUGGAAACGGCUGCUAAUACCCCAUACUCCUUCUUAUCAUAAGAUAAGUUGGGAAAGAUUUAUUGCUAAAGGAUGGGGCUUUAUGGUAUCAGCUAGUUGGUGGGGUAACGGCCUACCAAGGCUAUGACGCCUACCUGGUCUGAGAGGAUGAUCAGGCACACUGGAACUGAGACACGGUCCAGACUCCUACGGGAGGCAGCAGUGGGGAAUAUUGCACAAUGGAGGAAACUCUGAUGCAGCAACGCCGCGUGGAGGAUGACGCAUUUCGGUGUGUAAACUCCUUUUAUAAGGGAAGAUAAUGACGGUACCUUAUGAAUAAGCACCGGCUAACUCCGUGCCAGCAGCCGCGGUAA
This 476-nucleotide ribosomal RNA is filed under the name uncultured bacterium. RNAcentral's name for it is "partial 16S ribosomal RNA". It matches the Rfam family "Bacterial small subunit ribosomal RNA", at positions 29 to 523 of the family's 1533-position model. The record is from RNAcentral.